GAUGAAGAACGUAGCGAACUGCGAUAAGUAAUGUGAAUUGCAGAAUUCAGUGUAUCAUCGAGUCUUUGAACGCACAUUGCGCCCCCUGGCAUUCCGGGGGGCAUGCCUGUCCGAGCGUCAUUGCUGCCCUUCAAGCCCGGCUUGUGUGUUGGGUCGUCGUCCCCCCCGGGGGACGGGCCCGAAAGGCAGCGGCGGCACCGCGUCCGGUCCUCGAGCGUAUGGGGCUUUGUCACCCGCUCGAUUAGGGCCGGCCGGGCGCCAGCCGGCGUCUCCAACCUUCUAUUUUACCAGGUUGACCUCGGAUCAGGUAGGGAUACCCGCUGAACUUAAGCAUAUCAAUAAGCGGAGGA
RNAcentral lists this unclassified non-coding RNA (350 nucleotides) under soil metagenome. RNAcentral's name for it is "partial contains 5.8S ribosomal RNA, internal transcribed spacer 2, and large subunit ribosomal RNA". The stretch from base 1 to 120 matches the Rfam family "5.8S ribosomal RNA", at positions 35 to 154 of the family's 154-position model. The record is from RNAcentral.